UACGGAGGAUGCAAGCGUUAUCCGGAAUUAUUGGGCGUAAAGCGUCCGCAGGUGGUACACCAAGUCUGCUGUCAAAGACCAGGGCUUAACUCUGGAAAGGCAGAAGAAACUGGUGAACUAGAGUACGGUAGGGGUAGAGGGAAUUCCCAGUGUAGCGGUGAAAUGCGUAGAGAUUGGGAAGAACACCAGUGGCGAAGGCGCUCUACUGGACCUGUACUGACACUCAGGGACGAAAGCUAGGGUAGCGAAAGGG
Molecule: ribosomal RNA, 253 nt
Filed under: uncultured bacterium
Lineage: Bacteria
Description: partial 16S ribosomal RNA
Rfam family: Bacterial small subunit ribosomal RNA
Source: RNAcentral